UACGGCGACAUCACGUUGAAACACCGGUUCCCGUAUGAUCACCGAAGUUAAGCAACGUCGAGCAUGACCAUUAGCUAGAUGGGUGACCGCUUGGGAAUACCAGGUGCUGUAAU
Molecule: non-coding RNA, 113 nt
Organism: Acanthosepion pharaonis
Lineage: Eukaryota; Metazoa; Mollusca; Cephalopoda; Sepiida; Sepiidae
Source: the annotation of a GenBank genome assembly